RNAcentral lists this transfer RNA (75 nucleotides) under Sergentomyia goodmani. Its description in RNAcentral is "tRNA-Ser". The stretch from base 1 to 65 matches the Rfam family "tRNA". From Rfam's summary of the family: Transfer RNA (tRNA) molecules are approximately 80 nucleotides in length. Their secondary structure includes four short double-helical elements and three loops (D, anti-codon, and T loops). Further hydrogen bonds mediate the characteristic L-shaped molecular structure. tRNAs have two regions of fundamental functional importance: the anti-codon, which is responsible for specific mRNA codon recognition, and the 3' end, to which the tRNAs corresponding amino acid is attached (by aminoacyl-tRNA synthetases). tRNAs cope with the degeneracy of the genetic code in two manners: having more than one tRNA (with a specific anti-codon) for a particular amino acid; and 'wobble' base-pairing, i.e. permitting non-standard base-pairing at the 3rd anti-codon position. The record is from RNAcentral. Lineage: Eukaryota; Metazoa; Arthropoda; Insecta; Diptera; Psychodidae.
UUAAUGAGCUUGAAAAGCAUUUGUUUUGAAAACAAAAUAUAGAAAUUAAAUUUUUCUAUUAACUUUACUAAAAUA